CACGUAGGCACCAAGCGUUGUCCGGAUUUAUUGGGCGUAAAGAGCUCGUAGGCGGUUCGGUAAGUCGGGUGUGAAAACUUUGGGCUUAACCCAAAGCCUGCAUCCGAUACUGCUGUGACUAGAGUUCGGUAGGGGAGUGGGGAAUUCCUAGUGUAGCGGUGAAAUGCGCAGAUAUUAGGAGGAACACCGGUGGCGAAGGCGCCACUCUGGGCCGAUACUGACGCUGAGGAGCGAAAGCGUGGGUAGCAAACAGG
This 254-nucleotide ribosomal RNA is filed under the name uncultured bacterium. RNAcentral's name for it is "partial 16S ribosomal RNA". It matches the Rfam family "Bacterial small subunit ribosomal RNA", at positions 524 to 776 of the family's 1533-position model. The record is from RNAcentral.